AGAGCCGGACAAACGGUCGCGCGCAGUGGGUUUCUCACUGUGUGAGGAAAGUCCGGGCACCCCAGGGCAAAUUGCCGGAUAACGUCCGGUGUGGGCAACCACGAGGAUAGUGCCACAGAAAUGCAGACCGCCGAUGGCCGAUUUUCGGCACAGGCAAGGGUGCAACGGUGGGGUAAGAGCCCACCGGCAAAGCCGGAAGGCUUUGGCCAGGUAAACCCCGAUUGGUGCAAGGCCGGAGGCAGCUGUUUAAUCAGCAAGGGCGGCCCGCCCGCUUCCCAACCGCUUGAGCAUGGUGGAGACACCCUGCCCAGAUAGAUGACCGUUCUCGACAGAACCCGGCUUAUGGACGGCUCUUUUU
This 358-nucleotide RNase P RNA is filed under the name Vampirovibrio sp. RNAcentral describes it as "RNase P RNA component class A". It matches the Rfam family "Bacterial RNase P class A". From Rfam's summary of the family: Ribonuclease P (RNase P) is a ubiquitous endoribonuclease, found in archaea, bacteria and eukarya as well as chloroplasts and mitochondria. Its best characterised activity is the generation of mature 5'-ends of tRNAs by cleaving the 5'-leader elements of precursor-tRNAs. The record is from RNAcentral. Lineage: Bacteria; Bacillati; Candidatus Melainabacteria; Vampirovibriophyceae; Vampirovibrionales; Vampirovibrionaceae.